This 468-nucleotide ribosomal RNA is filed under the name uncultured bacterium. Its description in RNAcentral is "partial 16S ribosomal RNA". It matches the Rfam family "Bacterial small subunit ribosomal RNA", at positions 28 to 507 of the family's 1533-position model. The record is from RNAcentral.
GACGAACGCUGGCGGCGUGCUUAACACAUGCAAGUCGAACGGAAAGGCCCUGCUCUUGUGGGGUGCUCGAGUGGCGAACGGGUGAGUAACACGCGAGUAACCUGCCCUUGACUUUGGGAUAACUUCAGGAAACUGGGGCUAAUACCGGAUAGGAGCUCCUGCUGCAUGGUGGGGGUUGGUAAGUUUCGGCGGUUGGGGAUGGACUCGCGGCUUAUCAGCUUGUUGGUGGGGUAGUGGCUUACCAAGGCUUUGACGGGUAGCCGGCCUGAGAGGGUGACCGGCCACAUUGGGACUGAGAUACGGCCCAGACUCCUACGGGAGGCAGCAGUGGAGAGUAUUGCGGAGUGGGCGGAAGCCUGAUGCGGCAACGCCGCGUGCGGGAUGACGGCCUUCGGGUUGUAAACCGCUUUCGCCUGUGACGAAGCGUGAGUGACGGUAAUGGGUAAAGAAGCACCGGCUAACUACGUG